AUUUUUUCUCCACAAACUUAUUUUCAAAUUGUCGCACCGCAAAACUGUCGAUUUGUCGAAAGUCCUAAACUGAAUUCGAUUAUCAAUUUUGAGUCACAUCUAACAGGCUGUGCCAACGUGGAUCUCGUCCUAGGUCGCUCAUGUGGUGCCAUUUCUAUCCUGCAACACAACAACAUCAACAACAACUUAACCCAAAGCUUUCUGCUUAAUCCCAAUUCAUCAUAUAAAAAAAAGUUCAUGCUCAACUCGCACGCUCUCUCAUUCCCCACAUCACAUUGUCGGCUGCAAAUGUGAUUAUCCAAAGAAUGAAAGAAAUAUCUUUUCGAUUAGUCCCCAACAUUCUAUUUGGAACACCACAAAAUUCAAUUACUCACUUUCGUUGAAGUUCAUG
This 391-nucleotide long non-coding RNA is filed under the name Ananas comosus (pineapple). Its description in RNAcentral is "long non-coding RNA (ACOM_LNC025951)". Lineage: Eukaryota; Viridiplantae; Streptophyta; Magnoliopsida; Poales; Bromeliaceae. The record is from RNAcentral.